RNAcentral lists this ribosomal RNA (305 nucleotides) under uncultured bacterium. Its description in RNAcentral is "bacterial SSU rRNA". It matches the Rfam family "Bacterial small subunit ribosomal RNA", at positions 337 to 634 of the family's 1533-position model. The record is from RNAcentral.
ACCUACGGGAGGCAGCAGUGGGGAAUAUUGCGCAAUGGGCGAAAGCCUGACGCAGCGACGCCGCGUGAGGGAUGAAGGUCUUCGGAUCGUAAGCCUCUGUCGGCAGGGAAGAACGGUCACUGUGCUAAUCAGCAGUGAAUUGACGGUACCUGCAAAGGAAGCACCGGCUAACUCCGUGCCAGCAGCCGCGGUAAUACGGGGGGUGCGAGCGUUAAUCGGAAUUACUGGGCGUAAAGCGCUCGUAGGCGGUAUGUCAAGUCAAGGGUGAAAUCCCCGCGCUCAACGAGGGAACUGCCUUUGAAACU